This is a long non-coding RNA of Xenopus laevis (African clawed frog), 1683 nucleotides long. RefSeq lists it as uncharacterized. The transcript is spliced from 2 exons. NCBI's taxonomy places the organism in Eukaryota, Metazoa, Chordata, Amphibia, Anura, Pipidae. The record is from RefSeq and is a predicted model, not a curated record.
GGCUAGUCUGGAUGUUGACGGGGUGAUUAAAAUCUGGUCUAUUGAUGGCAUCAUGCAGACAAAAGCUUCCAAAAAUCUCCAAGUCGGCUCUGCUCUCCCUGGAAUGGGCGACAAAGAGAGACAGACUGAUCAGUUGCAAGCGGACAGCCACACAAAACUGCUCAAAUGAGGAUUUCUUUGUCCCCAGUGCUGUCUGAGGACCAUAGAUAUAUUUGAAUAACAUAAUAAUCAGUGCCAUCAGCCUGAUGAGUUGCAGCCAAUGAUGGGCCAGAAAGGUUGAAGAAGAAAGGUUGACAACCAUCUCAUUGAGGUCAACCUUUCCAAAGCCACCCAUCCAGAGAACAAGAAAACAAAACCAUGAUAGUUCUAAUUCUAUGAGUUGUGAACCAAAAUUGGAUCUCUGUGCAGUUCAAGUGGGUCUCAGUGAAGUUCCUUCUACAUUAGUAUUUAAAAUAAGGCACAUCAUUACUUUUGAGCCAAUGCUGGGGUCACAACGCUAACUCCAACUGGGUCCUCUAAAAAACCAUUCCCUGCAAGCCCAACUGCCAAUUCAGCCUCAUGAGUUGCAACCAAUGAUGACCAAAAAGGCAUCCAUCCAUUUGCCUGAACCUGAGCACAUACACACUAGGUUGACAACCAUCUCAUUGAGGUCAACCUUUACAAAGCCACCCAACCAGAGAACAAGAAAACAAAACCAUGAUAGUUCUAAUUCUAUGAGUUGGGAACCUAAAUUGGGUCACUGUGCAGUUCAUGGUGGGUCUCAGUGAAGUUCCUUCUACAUCAGUAUUUAAAAUAAGGCACAUCAUUACUUCUAAGCCAAUGCUGAGGUCACAACGCUAACUCCAACUGGGUCCUCUAAGAAACCAUUCCCUGCCAGCCCAACUGUCAAUUCAGCCUCAUGAGUUGCAGCCAAUGAUGCCCAAAAAGGCAUCUAUCCAUUUGCCUGAACAUACACACUAAGUUGACAACCAUCUCAUUGAGGUCAACCUUUUCAAAGCCACCCAUCCAGAGAAUAAGAAAACAAAACCAUUCACAUGAUGAGUCUAAUUCUAUGAGUCACCCAUCCGAAUAAAAAACCAAAACCAUGAUGGUUCUAAUUUUAUGAGUUGGGAACCCAAUUUGGGUCUCUGUGAGGUCCAUAGUGGGUCUCAGUAAAGUUCCUGUUACAUCAACAUCUGAAAUAAGGCAGAUCAUUACUUCUUGCCCUAAAAGGCAUCCAUUUGCCUAAACCUGAGCACAUAAACACUAGGUUGACAACUAUCUCAUUGAGGUCAACCUUUCCAAAGCAACCCAUCCAGAGAAUAAGAAAACAAAACCAUUAGCAUGAUGGUUCUAAUUCUAUGAGUUGGGAACAGAAAUUGGUUCUUCAUACAGUUCAUGGUGGGGCUCAGUGAAGUUCCUGCUAAAUCAGUAUUUGACAUAAGGCACAUCAUUACUUCCAAUGCUGGGUCACAACGCUAACUCCAACUGGGUCCUCUAAGAAACCAUUCCCUGCCAGCCCAACUGCCAAUUCAGCCUCAUAAGGGGCAGCCAACGAUGCUGCCCAAGAUUUCAAGGACCUUUUCUGACGGGAACAUUCUAGCAUUUUAGUCACCGACAUUCCAUCAUUGGAACAAAGUACAAUUUGGAAAGCGCACACCUGCUAUUAUGUAAGUGUUUAAUAAAAUAUUUUUUGUAUCUUUA